Molecule: ribosomal RNA, 484 nt
Filed under: uncultured bacterium
Lineage: Bacteria
Description: partial 16S ribosomal RNA
Rfam family: Bacterial small subunit ribosomal RNA
Source: RNAcentral
GAUGAACGCUGGCGGCGUGCUUAACACAUGCAAGUCGAACGGUGAAGCAGGAGCUUGCUCUUGUGGAUCAGUGGCGAACGGGUGAGUAACACGUGAGCAACCUGCCCCUGACUCUGGGAUAAGCGCUGGAAACGGCGUCUAAUACUGGAUAUGUGAUGUGACCGCAUGGUCUGCAGCUGGAAAGAAGUUCGGUUGUGUAUGGGCUCGCGGCCUAUCAGCUUGUUGGUGAGGUAAGGGCUCACCAAGGCGUCGACGGGUAGCCGGCCUGAGAGGGUGACCGGCCACACUGGGACUGAGACACGGCCCAGACUCCUACGGGAGGCAGCAGUGGGGAAUAUUGCACAAUGGGCGGAAGCCUGAUGCAGCAACGCCGCGUGAGGGAUGACGGCCUUCGGGUUGUAAACCUCUUUUAGCAGGGAAGAAGCGAAAGUGACGGUACCUGCAGAAAAAGCACCGGCUAACUACGUGCCAGCCGCCGCAGUAA